AGUGAACGCUGGCGGUAGGCCUAACACAUGCAAGUCGAACGGCAGCACAGUAAGAGCUUGCUCUUACGGGUGGCGAGUGGCGGACGGGUGAGGAAUACAUCGGAAUCUACUUUUUCGUGGGGGAUAACGUAGGGAAACUUACGCUAAUACCGCAUACGACCUACGGGUGAAAGCAGGGGAUCUUCGGACCUUGCGCGAUUGAAUUAGCCGAUGUCGGAUUAGCUAGUUGGCGGGGUAAAGGCCCACCAAGGCGACGAUCCGUAGCUGGUCUGAGAGGAUGAUCAGCCACACUGGAACUGAGACACGGUCCAGACUCCUACGGGAGGCAGCAGUGGGGAAUAUUGGACAAUGGGCGCAAGCCUGAUCCAGCCAUACCGCGUGGGUGAAGAAGGCCUUCGGGUUGUAAAGACCUUUUGUUGGGAAAGAAAAGCAGCAGGUUAAUACCCCGCUGUUCUGACGGUACCCAAAGAAUAAGCACCGGCUAACUUCGUG
Molecule: ribosomal RNA, 492 nt
Filed under: uncultured bacterium
Lineage: Bacteria
Description: partial 16S ribosomal RNA
Rfam family: Bacterial small subunit ribosomal RNA
Source: RNAcentral